RNAcentral lists this ribosomal RNA (570 nucleotides) under uncultured bacterium. RNAcentral describes it as "partial 16S ribosomal RNA". It matches the Rfam family "Bacterial small subunit ribosomal RNA", at positions 355 to 1375 of the family's 1533-position model. The record is from RNAcentral.
UGGGGAAUAUUGCACAAUGGGCGAAAGCCUGAUGCAGCAACGCCGCGUGAGGGACGACGGCCUUCGGGUUGUAAACCUCUUUUAGCAAGGAAGAAGCGAAAGUGACGGUACUUGCAGAAAAAGCGACCGGCUAACUACGUGCCAGCAGCCGCGGUAAUACGUAGGGCGCAAGCGUUAUCCGGAAUUAUUGGGCGUAAAGAGCUCGUAGGCGGUUUGUCGCGUCUGCUGUGAAAACCCGAGGCUCAACCUCGGGCCUGCAGUGGGUACGGGCAGACUAGAGUGCGGUAGGGGAGAUUGGAACUCCUGGUGUAGCGGUGGAAUGCGCAGAUAUCAGGAAGAACACCGAUGGCGAAGGCAGAUCUCUGGGCCCGUAACUGACGCUGAGGAGCGAAAGGGUGGGGAGCAAACAGGCUUAGAUACCCUGGUAGUCCACCCCGUAAACGUUGGGAACUAGUUGUGGGGUCCAUUCCACGGAUUCCGUGACGCAGCUAACGCAUUAAGCUCCCCGCCUGGGGAGUACGGCCGCAAGGCUAAAACUUAAAGGAAUUGACGGGGUCAUAGCUGUUUCCU